UACGUAGGGUGCAAGCGUUGUCCGGAAUUAUUGGGCGUAAAGAGCUCGUAGGCGGUCUGUCGCGUCGGAUGUGAAAACCCGGGGCUUAACCCCGGGCCUGCAUUCGAUACGGGCAGACUUGAGUGUGGUAGGGGAGACUGGAACUCCUGGUGUAGCGGUGAAAUGCGCAGAUAUCAGGAAGAACACCGGUGGCGAAGGCGGGUCUCUGGGCCACUACUGACGCUGAGGAGCGAAAGCGUGGGGAGCGAACAGG
RNAcentral lists this ribosomal RNA (253 nucleotides) under uncultured bacterium. Its description in RNAcentral is "partial 16S ribosomal RNA". It matches the Rfam family "Bacterial small subunit ribosomal RNA", at positions 524 to 776 of the family's 1533-position model. The record is from RNAcentral.